This 229-nucleotide unclassified non-coding RNA is filed under the name plant metagenome. RNAcentral describes it as "partial contains small subunit ribosomal RNA, internal transcribed spacer 1, and 5.8S ribosomal RNA". The record is from RNAcentral.
UCUCCGUAGGUGAACCUGCGGAGGGAUCAUUACAGAGUUCAUGCCCUACCGGGUAGAUCUCCCACCCUAUGUUAUUAUCACUUUGUUGCUUUGGCGGGCCGUUAGGCUCCGGCCCGACUACCGGCCCCGGCUGGUAAGCGCCCGCCAGAGGACCCAAAACCCUGAAUAUUAGUGUCGUCUGAGUACUAUAUAGUAGUUAAAACUUUCAACAACGGAUCUCUUGGUUCCG